GACGAAGGUGGCUAGCGUUGCUCGGAUUUACUGGGCAUAAAGCGCGCGUAGGUGGUCCUGUAAGCGAGAGAUGAAAGCCCAUGGCUCACCCAUGGAACUGUCCCUCAGACUGCAGGGCUGGAGGGCGGGAGGGGAGAAUGGAAUUCCCGGUGUAGCGGUGAAAUGCGUAGAUAUCGGGAGGAACGCCGGUGGCGAAAGCGAUUCUCUGGCCCGUUCCUGACACUGAGGCGCGAAAGCUAGGGGAGCCAACAGG
This 253-nucleotide ribosomal RNA is filed under the name uncultured bacterium. RNAcentral's name for it is "partial 16S ribosomal RNA". It matches the Rfam family "Bacterial small subunit ribosomal RNA", at positions 524 to 776 of the family's 1533-position model. The record is from RNAcentral.